Molecule: non-coding RNA, 1264 nt
Organism: Camellia sinensis
Lineage: Eukaryota; Viridiplantae; Streptophyta; Magnoliopsida; Ericales; Theaceae
Source: RefSeq, a predicted model, not a curated record
UUUCAUACUGGCGCCCAAUUUUUUUGCCCAUGUCUCCUACUCUUCGCACGUUUCUUUCUCCCCAUUCUCUCUCUUAAAACACACGCUCACUCUGUGCCCUCGUCGCUCUCUACCCUAGCUAAUCCCUCUUCAGUGCCGCCGCCGACGUCACCCAUUCUCCUUCUUCAGUGCUGCCACCGAAGUCGUAUCUCCAAGCAAGCGUUAGCGCCGCCGCCGUCGCUUCGAGUAUUCAAGAUUUGGGGACAGAUAUUGAGAAACAUCACGAGGUGUGAAGCUUUCUCCACAUAUCCAAGGUCUUAUGACUUAAUUCAUGCCAAUGGGGUUUUCAGUUUGUACAAGGACAAGUUAGCUUUAUCACUUGAUGGAAAUAUCUUUACAUGAUUUGUGUUUGGACAUGUAUUUAUCAAAUCAUUGAAACAAGGGUUCAAGUGUUAUGUAAUCACAUGAUUUUAUUUCUGUGUAAUUAUUCACAUAUCUAUAUUUAUUCUGGAAAUUGAGUUUGAUUUUGAUCCCUAAAGUUCUCAUCCUUUUUUCUAUUCUUCCAAGCACUUUAAUGAACUAAAGACUUUAAUAGAAACUAUUCAGAGCAUCUAUGUGGAAAAAUCAACCGUUGCUAGUUGAACAAGUAGAUUUCAGUAAUCUAUGAUUACUGUCUAAAACACAUUUUCUUUGAUAAGUAAAAUAAAUUGUAUUAAAAAACACUAAAAAAUGGCACAAUUUUUGUACAAAAAACAUGUGUAGAAAAGAGUGUUGCUAAAUGCUUAAACGGUGAAUGCUAUAGAUCACUUGCAGAGUUUGUGUUUUUUUGGAAGAGCUCAUUUUGGUUUCGCUUGUACGAAAUUUCAGUUUGGAUUUCAUUUUCUUACAAUUUUAUUUAAUCCAGGCUGCCCACAAUGUUGGAGGUCAUGUAGUAUGUACUGAUACAAUACAUAAUUCUAUCCUUGGAUGCAGUGUGUCUCGUCCUAGAUAGGUAUAUCCCUUGUUAUGGGUUUUGUUUUGAAGCUUGUUUCCUUUCUUGAAGUCCUUGGUGUUCAUUUUGUUAUAGUCUUUGAAGUUAAGAUUUUACUUCUCAUAUCUUUUAUUUAUGAGAAGUAAAAGCUUUUAUUACAUUAGAUCAAGAGUGUUAUACGAUAUUAAGAUUCUUAUUAGAUUGAAGGGACAAUUUCAUGGGACUGUUACUAGGCUUGUUAUGAUGUAUAUUGUAUUGAAUAUUGGCAGUUAAGAAAUAACAUGUUUAGUAAACGAAAAAAGUUGAAAUGAGAAU